CACUAACCUCACCAGGAUAAUCAUUAUACUUCAGCAUCAAAGACAAUGAAUAACUAUGAAGUGAUACACUAUGGACGCAGUGAUCAAAUCCUCUUCCUUCGUGCUGAUGGCGGAAGACUUUUGGCUUUGAGACUAGCUUCCUUGUUGGGUAAAGCGCCAAGAGGCCAGGUACAUUCACUGACCGAUGAGGCUCGUUAUCACCAUGGUAACACCAAGGCAAAGGCUUGCAGAGUGGAUUCAGUGGUGCGCCAACCGAAGAAAAGGCGUGGAUGCUUCGCAGUGGGUUGAGCAUGUGCUGGAUGAUGAUUAUCACCGAUGAUGUCUCCAUGGCAACACACACCAAGCAACAGCGUCUACUUUUGAGGAACGCAAGGCUGCUUGAUUGCAAUUCUUUGGGGAGGGCUGCCACUGUGAGUUCCACAUGCUUUGGUUUGACAGGUUUGGGUUGUUCAACCUGCACAGCGCAUGCCGCCUGCCCUGCUGGUGUCAGUCCAGUCACACAGACAUGACAGAGUCUACAUGUUAUGCAUGUACAUGAGGAAGUCAGAGUAAGAGAAGAUUAUGGAUCAACGAAUGGCUGAUGUUUGGCAGCAUCACCAGAGAGAGCAGAACAUGACUUGGAUGAGUUCAGCCACAUAGAGAAUGAUGAAGAUGACUCUGACGUUAGCCGUAGCAGAGACAAUAAGAAGCAAGCGCAGAAGAAACGCAAAUUCCAGUGAGGACUCUGGUGACAGCAACCGUGACAGUGAUGAGGAACAAGAACAGUGGAUGGAGAAACCAGCAGGUGUUCAAGGGGACAGCACCAUGGUUGGUCCCCCUCCUGUGGGCUCAUCUUCUGGCAUCACUGCCGUGAUAGACUAAGGCGAUAACAGCGUGGUCGGUCCCCUUCCUGUGAGCUCAUCUUCUGGCAUCACCACCUUGACACAAUUUGGGCAGACCUCCUUGCAAUCGCUGCCUACGUUGAGGCUGGCUAACUUUUCCUGCGUACGGUGCAACUGGACUGACCAGCGAUGAAAUCUCCAAUGUUGAAGACACAGGCCUUACAUUGUGAACAGUAGCAGACUUUGUUAUACAGAAGCUGUGCAUAUGCCCAAGGAAGACCAGACCAUGGUGCAGAUUAGAAGAGCGCCCUCGCCUCCUUCAACCUUUUGGAGGCAAGAUGGAGGACAAGAUCCUAUAGGGCUUCCCUGAGAUGAUUCAUGAGAAUAUCAAGGAGAGGAACUCGGAUAAAUGCCAAUCCUCACCUCCGUCACU
Molecule: long non-coding RNA, 1254 nt
Filed under: Acanthaster planci (crown-of-thorns starfish)
Lineage: Eukaryota; Metazoa; Echinodermata; Asteroidea; Valvatida; Acanthasteridae
Description: uncharacterized LOC110987812, transcript variant X4
Source: RNAcentral